This 450-nucleotide ribosomal RNA is filed under the name uncultured bacterium. RNAcentral describes it as "partial 16S ribosomal RNA". It matches the Rfam family "Bacterial small subunit ribosomal RNA", at positions 354 to 796 of the family's 1533-position model. The record is from RNAcentral.
GUGGGGAAUAUUGGACAAUGGGCGAAAGCCUGAUCCAGCCAUGCCGCGUGUGUGAAGAAGGUCUUCGGAUUGUAAAGCACUUUAAGUUGGGAGGAAGGGCAGUAAGUUAAUACCUUGCUGUUUUGACGUUACCGACAGAAUAAGCACCGGCUAACUUCGUGCCAGCAGCCGCGGUAAUACGAAGGGUGCAAGCGUUAAUCGGAAUUACUGGGCGUAAAGCGCGCGUAGGUGGUUUUGUAAGUUGGAGGUGAAAUCCCCGGGCUCAACCUGGGAACUGCCUCCAAAACUGAAUGACUAGAGGACGGUAGAGGGUAGUGGAAUUUCCUGUGUAGCGGUGAAAUGCGUAGAUAUAGGAAGGAACACCAGUGGCGAAGGCGACUACCUGGACUGAUACUGACACUGAGGUGCGAAAGCGUGGGGAGCAAACAGGAUUAGAAACCCUUGUAGUCC